UUCUCAGUGCCCAGCUUUGUGUCAGGCAUAUGGCAGGUAUUUCAGUAAAGAUCAUUGAACUAAAGAACUAUGUUAUGAGAAAGGAGCCUGGAGGAGAGUGAUAACUGUUGGAGGCAAGUGUUAGUCUACCUGAUAGAAGAGGUUUCGGGAGCAGGCAGAAGGGGAGAGGCCCAGAGCAAAGAGUGUCUUCAGUCACUUAUCAAAGGCUCCGUGUCCUCUCAUAAAAUGUAAGUGCAAAAAACAGCCUGUAAUACUCCUGGAGAUAGAAGACAAACAAAGAUUUCAACAAGUAACUGGAGACUAUAAAAACUGGGACAUUGUUUAUUUGCAAAAGAAUCAACUAGAAAUGCUAGGACCAAAAUAUAAUCAAAGAUGAGCUUCAUUCAAAACACUGAAAGUCUGACUAGAACAGACUGAAAAGUCUGACCUCCCCCAGGAAGAAGGACUAUCUUAGGACUCAAACUAUAACCCUUCUCAGAAGUCUCCAGUUUGCUGGCCUCUGCCAUUAUAUUUGAGACUCAUAAGCCUCCAUAAUCAUACAGCCAAUUCCCUAAAAUAAAUUUGUCUGUCUACACACACACAUGCACACUCCCCACUCUACCUCCCCCACCCAAAAACAUCUUACUCUUUCUGUUUCUCUGGAGAACCCUGAUUAAUACAAGGAUGAACCAUGGAAUGUAACACAUAUGCUUUUGUCCAAUAAAAAGAAUUUCU
Long non-coding RNA from Mustela putorius furo (domestic ferret), 714 nucleotides. Ensembl lists it as uncharacterized. NCBI's taxonomy places the organism in Eukaryota, Metazoa, Chordata, Mammalia, Carnivora, Mustelidae. The record is from Ensembl.